AUGUUCACUGGCACAGACAUCGAGAGACAAGCAAACACUUACCCAAGUGCAGAGUGCUCGCUGCUGCAUUGCAGAGUUUACUGGCAUAAAACGAUGGGGGUAGCAUGUUGGCAGUGCUGUCAGUUUCUCCAUGGGCUACCUUUUUCCUUGGAGGGGCCAACUGGAGUGAAGAAAGAGAUAUCCCAACCCCUCUGUGAGCUUUGGCUUUUCCAUGGUGACGCCAGUUUUCAGAUCCGUGGCUUCACAGGUGAGAGCUGCAAACCUGCUCUAUGCAGGGCCACCAUGGCAUCCUCAGGAGACCACUGUUAGCCCAGGGGGGAGUCAGUGAGGAUACCCAGGUUAAAACCACUCCAUCUUCCUGCUAGUGCCCAACUCUAGAUACAGGAAGAUGAUUUUAAUAGGUUUCAAGGGAUUCUUUAGAUGGAUCUUGGAAUGGAUCUUGUUAUCAAACAUUUUGAAAACGAAAGGCCAGGGGAAAAAUGGAUUUAAUGUAUGUGGGUUUUUUUCCCCGACCAAAAAUAUACUGAGGACUGAUGAACAGUCUGAAAAGUGGUACUUCAGUAAUGUCUUUUAUUUCUUCACUUGUAGCAAUAGUAGUGUUUAAAAUCUUACAACUUGAAAUUUGUGGAGGAGACUGAUGGAGUAAGGGAUGGAAGAGCUGCCAUUGCUGCUGAUUGCCACUUCAAAUCCUUGGGGGAAGAGUCUUCUGGAAGUGAAUGGGAACUGAUCACCUCUCCACAGACUUCCUGAGUCAUCACACACAGAAUUUAACAGAAAAAAAAUAUUUCACUUCCAAUUGAUAUAAUGUGUCAUAAAAGUGCUCAAAGACAAAAGAUGUGUUCAUUUCCACAGUCUAAGUUAUCAGAUGGGAUAAAUUAACUCUCUGAUUUCUGUGAAGUUCUGUAUGGAUUCCAUCCCUAAAAAGGUACAUUUUCAUAUGUAUAUUUGCAUUGAUUUAGUACCUCCAUUUCUGGGACUCCCACAAAAAGAUAACAGCCAGUUUUACAUUUACUUGAGGCCUGACUGAGGGGUUUAUCUCCAUGUAAAUUUUCCAGCCCAGUUGUGAAACCUCUGAAAUGGAUGGUAAAGAAAGUUUUGAUGAAACUUAACUAUGGUUGGGUACUUACUUCACUGCUGUAAGGGCAAAUCCCCCAGUCGCUGUCAGUGGGUGAGCAGCCGGGCUUUCAUCCCUCCAUUCUUCACUGUAAUCUUCAUUAACAUGAGAGCUGGUGUUUUGCUCCCCACACAUGGAUGGCAUACUGUUUGAACUCCAGGAGGCUGCUGGGAUAAAGGGAUGUGUACAGGCCUCUCUGCUGACCACAGCCAGCAUUUCUUUAGCAAGCGUAGCAUGAAUAUAAACGUUACAUACACCACAAUGGAGAGGAAUUACUAUGCACACUAUCACUUUCAAGCCUUUGAAAGAAACAGAAGCAGAAGGAGGUUCUUGCACUUUCUGCCGACAUCAUCUUUACUGUCCAUCCAUUUGUUCCCCAUUUAGCCUCCCCACUGGCAAAGCCUCUAUUAUGUGCUGAAAGACCAGACAAUGGGAGCCCACUACGCCUGGCGAAUGCGCGCAUUGUUCCAUGGGCUCCCUAUAGAAAUCCCUGUGUUCGCAUGACCCGUUUUCCAAAGUUUCGGUUUUUUCUUUCCUGAAAGGGGAGGGUGAGAGGAAAAGGGACAGUGUCUCACAGCUCUGUGCAGAUUAGUGGUAUGUUCAUGCUCAUAUAUUGAGAUGGAUAAAAUAGCCAUAAAUUUUUUCCCAAAGUGCUUAUUUGUAAUGCAUGCAUGAACUCACUUAACAAGCUUAAAAUAUUUAGUGAGCACUGAAAUGAAUGGAGAGUGUGGGAGGGGGGACAAAACUAGCAGAGAUAAUUGAAUACACUUAGCAGUUAUAGCAGCUUUACAUAGCUGUAUCAUAUUCUCUAUGGAUAGCACAGCUGGGACAAUAUGGUUAGAGUUUUAAAAUAUCUAGGGAUUUCUGUCUUAAGAUAGUUAUCAAUAAUUGCAAACUUAAACAUUAAAUAUUUUUGGCUUAGUUAAAAUAUAUAUCUCUUUAUUUAAUGCAUGAUAAAAUACCAUAAAAUUGAGAACGUUUUCCCCUUGGCAUUUCUUCAGGACUCAGGUAAGCAGGAGGGUCUCCAAGUGGGGCUGUCCAGGAACUAAAGUCUGUCUUGGGGAAACCACAGGCUGCCAAAGACAGGUGGAUUAAAACACAGAAGACAGAAGUCCCUCAGACUUGACAGUGUUUGAAAUGCCAAAUGAGAGCAAGAAGAUGGGUUGCUAUAGCACAGGUUCACAUCAUCUGUGAAACUGAUAAAGUCCUUCAGAAAUGGAGAAAAUCUUGCCAGAUUAUAUGGUAAAUUUCCAGCUUCAUUCCAGCUGAGCCAAAAUUUGCACCCGUGUCCUUGUCCUGACUACAGCUAGGACCUUAAACCUACAGACUACAGGAACACAUCCAUCUCAGCUCACACCUAAUUAACUGCUUAAUUAGAGCAGCACUGGGGAAACUCUGCUCUUUGUUUUCCCUUUUUCUCUGGUGCCUGAUGCUACUUGUAGCAGCACAAAGCUCUUUGAGUGGCUGAGCCUUCCUGGUCACACAUGGCAGGUUCAAGGUGAAGGUCUCUUUUGCUGGGCUUUUCCUCUCUCUUCUGAGAUAAUCGACUUUGAUGUCACCAUGAAGCUCCUCCCCAGGUCACGCUGCUCGCACUGCAGCCAGUACCUCAGCUAGAGCUAGAAACUAAUGCACAGCUGUUUAAUCUGGAAGAGUGAUAUGAAGGUCACUGAGGAAGGUAAUGCGGUCCUGUUGAUUGAACAUGUGGAUAUGGGCACCACAAAAACAUAAUCUACUUUGCUGGGAAUGCGAUAAACCAGGUUUAUGUAUGCAGUUGGCAAGCACUACUUCUGAGUGUUACUCCAUCAGAUAAUCCAGGCAGCAGAGCAUUCAUGAGUCCUGGUCCCCUAAUAUAGCUUGAAUCUAAGGAUUAGGUAAUUUUCAUAUUUGUAGGGUUUUCUAAAACAACAUUAUUUUUUUCCUAGUUGUUUUCUGAUUUUUACUUAUGAAAUACUUAUUUCAAAUUUACCAAGCAAAAAUAAAAAACUUAUUUACCAAGCA
This is a long non-coding RNA of Cyanistes caeruleus (blue tit), 3112 nucleotides long. NCBI's taxonomy places the organism in Eukaryota, Metazoa, Chordata, Aves, Passeriformes, Paridae. The record is from Ensembl.